GCUGGGCACAGUGGUGCAUGCCUAUAAUCCCAGUGGCUCAGGAGGCUGAGGCAGGAGGAUUGUAGAUUUCAAAGCCAGCCUCAGCAAAAAUGAGGCACUUAGCAACUCAGUGAUACCCUGUCUCUG
This 126-nucleotide small RNA is filed under the name Marmota monax (woodchuck). The record is from RNAcentral. Lineage: Eukaryota; Metazoa; Chordata; Mammalia; Rodentia; Sciuridae.